Molecule: transfer RNA, 85 nt
Filed under: Felis catus (domestic cat)
Lineage: Eukaryota; Metazoa; Chordata; Mammalia; Carnivora; Felidae
Also listed under: 2 other names
Rfam family: tRNA
About the family: Transfer RNA (tRNA) molecules are approximately 80 nucleotides in length. Their secondary structure includes four short double-helical elements and three loops (D, anti-codon, and T loops). Further hydrogen bonds mediate the characteristic L-shaped molecular structure. tRNAs have two regions of fundamental functional importance: the anti-codon, which is responsible for specific mRNA codon recognition, and the 3' end, to which the tRNAs corresponding amino acid is attached (by aminoacyl-tRNA synthetases). tRNAs cope with the degeneracy of the genetic code in two manners: having more than one tRNA (with a specific anti-codon) for a particular amino acid; and 'wobble' base-pairing, i.e. permitting non-standard base-pairing at the 3rd anti-codon position.
Source: Rfam by way of RNAcentral
GCCUGGGUGGCUCAAUCAGUUAAGCAUCUGACUUCAGCUCAGGUCAUGAUCUCACAGCUCGUGGGUUCAAGCCCCACGUCAGGCU